Molecule: ribosomal RNA, 497 nt
Filed under: uncultured bacterium
Lineage: Bacteria
Description: partial 16S ribosomal RNA
Rfam family: Bacterial small subunit ribosomal RNA
Source: RNAcentral
GAUGAACGCUGGCGGCGUGCCUAAUACAUGCAAGUCGAGCGAACAGAUGAGGAGCUUGCUCCUCUGACGUUAGCGGCGGACGGGUGAGUAACACGUGGAUAACCUACCUAUAAGACUGGGAUAACUUCGGGAAACCGGAGCUAAUACCGGAUAAUAUAUUGAACCGCAUGGUUCAAUAGUUAAAGACGGUUUUGCUGUCACUUAUAGAUGGAUCCGCGCCGCAUUCGCUAGUUGGUAAGGUAACGGCUUACCAAGGCAACGAUGCGUAGCCGACCUGAGAGGGGGAUCGGCCACGCUGGAACUGAGACACGGUCCAGACUCCUACGGGAGGCAGCAGUAGGGAAUCUUCCGCAAUGGGCGAAAGCCUGACGGAGCAACGCCGCGUGAGUGAUGAAGGUCUUCGGAUCGUAAAACUCUGUUAUUAGGGAAGAACAAAUGUGUAAGUAACUAUGCACGUCUUGACGGUACCUAAUCAGAAAGCCACGGCUAACUACGUG